This 394-nucleotide unclassified non-coding RNA is filed under the name Hevea brasiliensis (rubber tree). The record is from RNAcentral. Lineage: Eukaryota; Viridiplantae; Streptophyta; Magnoliopsida; Malpighiales; Euphorbiaceae.
CAAUCUCCUCCCCUGUUUUUUUAACACUUGAAUCUUUUGGUUCUUGUCCUCUGAGAGCUACUCGAAGGAACAAAGACCAAGAUUCAGUUGGAGAUAAGCCUUUCAAAACGUAGGGUUCCACUGUUCUAGCUACCAUUGCCACUUUUAUAGNAGUGGUUACUAAUAUUUUACUCCCGCCAGAACCACCCACUAAUAAUUUCUUCAAACUAUCCCAUUUUUCACGAUUUUCAUUCCAUACAUCAUCCAACACUAGCAUAUAUUUUUUUCCAUUAAUAAUUUUUCCAAGGUCAGUUUUCAAUGUCUCUAGCUCAAGUUCUUCUGACUUUUUACCCUCUGCAGACUCUAAGAUUUUUUUAACAAUCAUUUUCACAUCAAAAGGAUCUGAUACACAAAC